AACGAACGCUGGCGGCAUGCCUAACACAUGCAAGUCGAACGCCCGUAGCAAUACGGGAGUGGCAGACGGGUGCAUAACACGUGGGAACCUACCCUAGGGUUCGGAAUAACCGCGGGAAACUGCGGCUAAUACCGGAUACGUCCUCUGGGAGAGAGAUUUAUCGCCCUUGGAGGGGCCCGCGUCGGAUUAGCUAGUUGGUGAGGUAACGGCUCACCAAGGCGAUGAUCCGUAGCUGAUCUGAGAGGAUGAUCAGCCACACUGGAACUGAGACACGGUCCAGACUCCUGCGGGAGGCAGCAGUGGGGAAUAUUGGACAAUGGGCGCAAGCCUGAUCCAGCAAUGCCGCGUGGGUGAUGAAGGCCUUCGGGUUGUAAAGCCCUUUUGGCAGGGACGAUGAUGACGGUACCUGCAGAAUAAGCCCCGGCUAACUUCGUGCCAGCCGCCGCCGUAA
RNAcentral lists this ribosomal RNA (451 nucleotides) under uncultured bacterium. Its description in RNAcentral is "partial 16S ribosomal RNA". It matches the Rfam family "Bacterial small subunit ribosomal RNA", at positions 29 to 523 of the family's 1533-position model. The record is from RNAcentral.